Populus trichocarpa (black cottonwood) is the source of this 1290-nucleotide RNA transcript. RefSeq lists it as uncharacterized. NCBI's taxonomy places the organism in Eukaryota, Viridiplantae, Streptophyta, Magnoliopsida, Malpighiales, Salicaceae. The transcript has 3 exons. The record is from RefSeq and is a predicted model, not a curated record.
UGAUUGUAAUAAUAUUAUUCAGCUUUUAAUAAUAUCUCUGCUGUUGCUCUGUUAUAGUAUUUGUUAACACUCCAUUAAUUCAGGCUGGGAGUGUCUAUUUAGGACAGAGACCAGACGAGAAAACCUCGAAGAGUUCUGUAAUCAAGAGAGCCCCCAAUCUAUCAGUGGUUUCCAAGUAAGUGAAGCUGCACUUCACCAUAGAAUCUCCAUGAUUUUGGUUGGGGUUUUUCAGUUCUUGGCUGGCAGGAAUUAAAUUACACAAGGUACGGAUGCAACCAGGCUUGGAUGAGAUCACAAUGACGGCGUGGAAGAAUCUAAAGCAACGGCUCUCAUUCAAGGGCCUGGGUAGUUGCUGCGGGAGCACAAGCUGGAGUUCCAGAAGUGCCACCCCAACCAUGCCCUUUAUCGAUAUAGAGCAAGAAGAAGAGGAAGAGCCCAUCAUGCAAAACCAAGCUCAAAGAGGAGGAGGAGCUGCAGCAGCAGCAGCAGCGCCAGGUGCUGGGAUGAAUCUGGCAAUGGCAUUAGCUGCUGAGCGCAAUUUAGGGGAUUCAAAUGUCAAGACAUUGAUGAGUUUGAUCGAAGAAACGGACGGUGUUGAUUGGAGGAAGAAGAAUAACAGUAAUGAUAAAAGUAGGAGGGACAAGGAACAGGAACAGAAGCAGGAAGAAGAGAAGGAUUGGGUAUGCUGCGUUUGCAUGGAGAGAAAUAAAGGCGCAGCUUUUAUUCCAUGUGGACACACCUUUUGUAGGGUUUGUUCAAGAGAAAUGUGGGUUAAUCGAGGGUGCUGUCCUAUCUGCAACCGUUCCAUUCUCGACAUCCUUGAUAUCUUCUAGUAAUCAGCAGAGGCAGAGAAGAUUCUUUCAAUGUCUUGUCUUCGGGUUCAAACCCAGGCAUGCCGAAUUAUUUAAGAGCUGAGCCGGCAGAGUUUGAUAUUUGCUGGCCUUUGGUGCGCAAUCGAGUCAAUUGCCGAGUGUCAAGUGCCUAACACAUGAAGCAUGCAGCAGUACAUUAAUUUAAUUUAGCGGCUGCGCGCGGUUGUAUUUGUAGCAUGCUCUCUUACAGGCCAUCCUACUUGUUAAAGUGCUCUGCUUUUUAUCGUUUCUCGUUAAGAAGGGAGACAGAGGCGUUUCGUUUGUUUCUUAAAAUUUGUUGUUUUCCUUUUGGUUUAGACAAUCGGCUGUUUUUUCAUGAUUUAAAACUAGGGAGACUCCAAUCUGAGCCCUCAAAUUUUCAAACUUUAAAAACUCAAGAUUGGUUGGAUUGAAUUUAAUAAAGCUCCUUUAAACGAGA